This 831-nucleotide long non-coding RNA is filed under the name Equus asinus (donkey). Its description in RNAcentral is "lncRNA (ENSEASG00005028046.1)". The record is from RNAcentral. Lineage: Eukaryota; Metazoa; Chordata; Mammalia; Perissodactyla; Equidae.
GGGAGCAGUUUCUGCAGGACACUAUUAUGAGGGCGUUGACUUUUAUUUUGAAUUGAAGCAGGAAGUCACUAGAGAGCUUUGAGGAGAGGAUCAAUUUGGCUCCUGGGUUGAGAAUAAACUCCAGAGGGCAAAGGCAAAAAGGGAGACUGGUUAGUAGCAUUUACAAUAAUCCAGGACUGUAACAACACAAACUAGAGAAGAUGACAUAAGGUACAAAAAAGCAAAUUGGCCCUGAACUAAUAUCUGUUGCCAAUCCUCUUCUAUUUUGUAUGCGGGAUGCCACCACAGCUUGACUUGAUGAGCAGUGUGUAGGUCUGCACCCAGGAUCCAAACCUGUGAACCCCGGGCCACUGAAGCAGAGUGUGCAAACUUAACCACUAUGCCACCAGGCCAGUCCUGAAUCUAAUAAUUCUUGAUGCUAUUAUUGAUCCCCGUGGCACCACUGGAUAAUUUUUUUUUUCUGCUGAGGAAGAUUAGCCCUGAGUUAACAUCUGUUGUCCAUCUUCCUGUUUUUUUCGCUUGAGGAAGAUUAGCCCUGAGCUAAUGUGUGCCAGUCUGCCUCGACUUUGUAUGUGGGUUGUUGCCACAGCAUGCCUGACAAGUGGUGUAGGUCUCCGUGUGGGAUCUGAACCUGUGAACCUGGGCUGCUGAAGCAGAGAAUGCUGAACUUAACCACUAUGCCACGGGGCUGGCCCCUGGAUAACUUUCUGUUUAGGGACCUUGGCCACAAAUACUACAUAAACAUAGUGAUAUAUAAUUUAUCUAUUGUAGUACUGAGUUUUUUUCUAUCAACUUAAAGGCACAAAUUAAAGAACCAUUUUCACAAGUUAA